RNAcentral lists this ribosomal RNA (429 nucleotides) under uncultured bacterium. RNAcentral's name for it is "bacterial SSU rRNA". It matches the Rfam family "Bacterial small subunit ribosomal RNA", at positions 355 to 776 of the family's 1533-position model. The record is from RNAcentral.
UGGGGAAUAUUGGACAAUGGGCGCAAGCCUGAUCCAGCAAUGCCGCGUGUGUGAAGAAGGCCUUCGGGUUGUAAAGCACUUUUAGUGGGGAAGAAAAAACCAAAGAUAAUACCUUUGGGAAUUGACGUUACCCACAGAAAAAGCACUGGCAAACUCUGUGCCAGCAGCCGCGGUAAUACAGAGAGUGCAAGCGUUAAUCGGAAUUACUGGGCGUAAAGCGCACGUAGGUGGACAAUUAAGUCGGAUGUGAAAUCCCUGGGCUCAACCUAGGAACUGCACCCGAUACUGGUUGUCUAGAGUAUAGUAGAGGGAAGUGGAAUUUCCGGUGUAGCGGUGAAAUGCGUAGAUAUCGGAAAGAACACCAGUGGCGAAGGCGGCUUCCUGGACUAAUACUGACACUGAGGUGCGAAAGCGUGGGGAGCAAACAGG